Molecule: ribosomal RNA, 520 nt
Filed under: uncultured bacterium
Lineage: Bacteria
Description: bacterial SSU rRNA
Rfam family: Bacterial small subunit ribosomal RNA
Source: RNAcentral
AGUUGAUCAUGGCUCAGGAUGAACGCUAGCUACAGGCUUAACACAUGCAAGUCGAGGGGCAUCAUGGAGUUUGCUUGCAAACUCUGAUGGCGACCGGCGCACGGGUGAGUAACGCGUAUCCAACCUUCCCUAUAGUAGAGGAUAGCCCGGCGAAAGUCGGAUUAAUACUCUAUGUUUUCCGUUGCAGACAUCUAAGAUGGAACAAAGGCUUGCCGCUAUAGGAUGGGGGAUGCGUCUGAUUAGGUAGUCGGCGGGGUAACGGCCCACCGAGCCAUCGAUCAGUAGGGGUUCUGAGAGGAAGGUCCCCCCACAUUGGAACUGAGACACGGUCCAAACUCCUACGGGAGGCAGCAGUGAGGAAUAUUGGUCAAUGGGCGAGAGCCUGAACCAGCCAAGUAGCGUGCAGGACGACGGCCCUAUGGGUUGUAAACUGCUUUUAUGCGGGGAUAAAGUUCACUACGUGUAGUGUUUUGUAGGUACCGCAUGAAUAAGGACCGGCUAAUUCCGUGCCAGCAGCGGC